GGGUACCGGUACAGAGUCGAUGUGGAGGCUAUAUACAGGGGGUACCGGUACAGAGUCAAUGUGGAGGCUAUAUACAGGGGGUACCGGUACAGAGUCAAUGUGGAGGCUAUAUACAGGGGGUACCGGUACAGAGUCAAUGUGGAGGCUAUAUACAGGGGGUACCGGUACAGAGUCAAUGUGGAGGCUAUAUACAGGGGGUACCGGUACAGAGUCAAUGUGGAGGCUAUAUACAGGGGUACCGGUACAGAGUCAAUGUGGAGGCUAUAUACAGGGGGUACCGGUACAGAGUCGAUGUGGAGGCUAUAUACAGGGGGUACCGGUACAGAGUCGAUGUGGAGGCUAUAUACAGGGGGUACCGGUACAGAGUCGAUGUGGAGACUAUAUACAGG
Oncorhynchus tshawytscha (Chinook salmon) is the source of this 389-nucleotide long non-coding RNA. NCBI's taxonomy places the organism in Eukaryota, Metazoa, Chordata, Actinopteri, Salmoniformes, Salmonidae. The record is from Ensembl.